GUGUAUGGCCAUACCACACUGAACAUGCCUGCUCUUGAAAACUAAGCAGAGUCGGGCCUGGUUAGUACUUGGAUGAUUGAAAGCUUUGUUCACUGUAAUGU
RNAcentral lists this ribosomal RNA (101 nucleotides) under Mesocricetus auratus (golden hamster). Lineage: Eukaryota; Metazoa; Chordata; Mammalia; Rodentia; Cricetidae. The record is from RNAcentral.